GGCCGGGUAGCGCGCAUCUAUACAAGACCCUGAAAGGGGAAGCAUGCGGGCCGUCUGUGAGCGGUGUUCAAGUACCCGGCCGCCCUCUG
RNAcentral lists this non-coding RNA (89 nucleotides) under Cupriavidus taiwanensis. Its description in RNAcentral is "sRNA-Xcc1". It matches the Rfam family "sRNA-Xcc1". RNAcentral also lists the same sequence under 1 other name. The record is from RNAcentral. Lineage: Bacteria; Pseudomonadati; Pseudomonadota; Betaproteobacteria; Burkholderiales; Burkholderiaceae.